CACCGAAGGCUUAAAGUAGGACAACCAUGGAGCCUUCCUGUGGCAAGAGAGACAACAAAGUGCUAUUAUCCUAAGCUUUUCCAGAAGCCUGUUAAAAGCAAGGUCUCCCCACAAGCAACUUCUCUGCCACAUCGCCACCCCGUGCCUUUUGAUCUAGCACAGACCCUUCACCCCUCACCUCGAUGCAGCCGGUAGCUUGGAUCCUUGUGGGCAUGAUCCAUAAUCGGUUUCAAGGUAAUAGCCUGCAGCUGGUGUUUUGAGAAGCCCUACUGCUGAAAACUUAACAAUUUUGUGUAAUAAAAAUGGAGAAGCUCUAAA
This 318-nucleotide long non-coding RNA is filed under the name Pan troglodytes (chimpanzee). RNAcentral describes it as "lincRNA". Lineage: Eukaryota; Metazoa; Chordata; Mammalia; Primates; Hominidae. The record is from RNAcentral.